CAGGAUGGAAAUAUGAGAAAUAAAAGAUAUAAAUAAAUAAACCUAAUUUUUGCUCCAUUUUAUUUAUUUUUCACCAAUCUUUCUAUUUUUUAUUUUUAUUUUUUCUUUUCAAUCAAACACAUUUAACUUAUAAAACUUUAUCUAAUUUACUUUUUACUAACUUCUUUGGUCGAUGAAUUUUAUUUUUCUUCUUUUGAAAUAGAUGAUGUAACUUGU
This 216-nucleotide long non-coding RNA is filed under the name Vigna radiata. RNAcentral describes it as "long non-coding RNA (VRAD_LNC010862)". The record is from RNAcentral. Lineage: Eukaryota; Viridiplantae; Streptophyta; Magnoliopsida; Fabales; Fabaceae.